Molecule: ribosomal RNA, 492 nt
Filed under: uncultured bacterium
Lineage: Bacteria
Description: partial 16S ribosomal RNA
Rfam family: Bacterial small subunit ribosomal RNA
Source: RNAcentral
AGUGAACGCUGGCGGUAGGCCUAACACAUGCAAGUCGAACGGCAGCACAGUAAGAGCUUGCUCUUACGGGUGGCGAGUGGCGGACGGGUGAGGAAUACAUCGGAAUCUACUUUUUCGUGGGGGAUAACGUAGGGAAACUUACGCUAAUACCGCAUACGACCUACGGGUGAAAGCAGGGGAUCUUCGGACCUUGCGCGAUUGAAUGAGCCGAUGUCGGAUUAGCUAGUUGGCGGGGUAAAGGACCACCAAGGCGACGAUCCGUAGCUGGUCUGAGAGGAUGAUCAGCCACACUGGAACUGUGACACGUGCCAGACUUCUACGUGAUGCAGCAUUGUGUAAUAUUGGACAAUGGGCGCAAGCCUGAUCCAGCCAUACCGCGUGGGUGAAGAAUGCCUUCGUGUUGUAAAGCCCUUUUGUUGUGAAAGAAAAGCAGCAGGUUAAUACCCCGCUGUUCUGACGGUACCCAAAGAAUAAGCACCGGCUAACUUCGUG